This 117-nucleotide transfer RNA is filed under the name Gammaproteobacteria bacterium. RNAcentral describes it as "tRNA-OTHER". It matches the Rfam family "tRNA". Rfam says of the family: Transfer RNA (tRNA) molecules are approximately 80 nucleotides in length. Their secondary structure includes four short double-helical elements and three loops (D, anti-codon, and T loops). The record is from RNAcentral. Lineage: Bacteria; Pseudomonadati; Pseudomonadota; Gammaproteobacteria.
UGGAAGGUAGUUCAAUGGCAGAAUGCAAGCAUUAAGCCUCGCCAAUCAUUUGCCUGUAAGGGCCGACGUGUGAGGGUUAUCGGGCUUGUGAUGCAGGUUCGACUCCUGUCCUUCCAC